This 478-nucleotide ribosomal RNA is filed under the name uncultured Spirochaeta sp. RNAcentral describes it as "bacterial SSU rRNA". It matches the Rfam family "Bacterial small subunit ribosomal RNA", at positions 903 to 1382 of the family's 1533-position model. The record is from RNAcentral. Lineage: Bacteria; Pseudomonadati; Spirochaetota; Spirochaetia; Spirochaetales; Spirochaetaceae.
AAAGGAAGUUGACGGGGGCCCGCACAAGCGGUGGAGCAUGUGGUUUAAUUCGAUGGUACGCGAGGAACCUUACCAGGGCUUGACAUACGUUGGAAGCGCAUCGAAAGGUGCGUGCCGCUUGCGGCCGGCGUACAGGUGCUGCAUGGCUGUCGUCAGCUCGUGCUGUGAAGUGUUGGGUUAAGCCCCGCAACGAGCGCAACCCCUGCUGCCUGUUGCCACCACGAGAGGUGGGGACUCAGGCGGGACCGCCGGUGACAAACCGGAGGAAGGUGGGACGACGUCAAGUCAUCAUGGCCCUUAUGUCCUGGGCUACACACGUGCUACAAUGGCCGGUACAGAGCGCAGCGAGGCCGCGAGGCGGAGCGAAUCGCUUAAAGCCGGUCCCAGUACGGAUUGGAGUCUGCAACCCGACUCCAUGAAGUUGGAAUCGCUAGUAAUCGCGCAUCAGCAUGGCGCGGUGAAUACGUUCCCGGGCCUU